RNAcentral lists this ribosomal RNA (497 nucleotides) under uncultured bacterium. RNAcentral describes it as "partial 16S ribosomal RNA". It matches the Rfam family "Bacterial small subunit ribosomal RNA", at positions 28 to 507 of the family's 1533-position model. The record is from RNAcentral.
GAUGAACGCUGGCGGCGUGCCUAAUACAUGCAAGUCGAGCGAACGGACGAGAAGCUUGCUUCUCUGAUGUUAGCGGCGGACGGGUGAGUAACACGUGGAUAACCUACCUAUAAGACUGGGAUAGCUUCGGGAAACCGGAGCUAAUACCGGAUAAUAUUUUGAACCGCAUGGUUCAAAAGUGAAAGGCGGUCUUGCUGUCACUUAUAGAUGGAUCCGCGCUGCAUUAGCUAGUUGGUAAGGUAACGGCUUACCAAGGCAACGAUGCAUAGCCGACCUGAGAGGGUGAUCGGCCACACUGGAACUGAGACACGGUCCAGACUCCUACGGGAGGCAGCAGUAGGGAAUCUUCCGCAAAGGGCGAAAGCCUGACGGAGCAACGCCGCGUGAGUGAUGAAGGUCUUCGGAUCGUAAAACUCUGUUAUUAGGGAAGAACAUAUGUGUAAGUAACUGUGCACAUCUUGACGGUACCUAAUCAGAAAGCCACGGCUAACUACGUG